Molecule: ribosomal RNA, 253 nt
Filed under: uncultured bacterium
Lineage: Bacteria
Description: partial 16S ribosomal RNA
Rfam family: Bacterial small subunit ribosomal RNA
Source: RNAcentral
UACGUAGGGUGCAAGCGUUGUCCGGAAUUAUUGGGCGUAAAGAGCUCGUAGGCGGUUUGUCGCGUCGAAUGUGAAAACCCGGGGCUCAACCCCGGGCCUGCAUUCGAUACGGGCAGACUAGAGUUCGGUAGGGGAGUCUGGAAUUCCUGGUGUAGCGGUGAAAUGCGCAGAUAUCAGGAGGAACACCGGUGGCGUAGGCGGGACUCUGGGCCGAUACUGACGCUGAGGAGCGAAAGCGUGGGGAGCAAACAGG